This 429-nucleotide ribosomal RNA is filed under the name Chloroflexota bacterium. RNAcentral describes it as "Chloroflexi bacterium partial 16S ribosomal RNA". It matches the Rfam family "Bacterial small subunit ribosomal RNA", at positions 355 to 776 of the family's 1533-position model. The record is from RNAcentral. Lineage: Bacteria; Bacillati; Chloroflexota.
UGGGGAAUUUUGCACAAUGGGCGCAAGCCUGAUGCAGCCAUGCCGCGUGUAUGAAGAAGGCCUUCGGGUUGUAAAGUACUUUCAGCGGGGAGGAAGGGAGUAAAGUUAAUACCUUUGCUCAUUGACGUUACCCGCAGAAGAAGCACCGGCUAACUCCGUGCCAGCAGCCGCGGUAAUACGGAGGGUGCAAGCGUUAAUCGGAAUUACUGGGCGUAAAGCGCACGCAGGCGGUUUGUUAAGUCAGAUGUGAAAUCCUCGGGCUCAACCUGGGAACUGCAUCUGAUACUGGCAAGCUUGAGUCUCGUAGAGAGGGGUAGAAUUCCAGGUGUAGCGGUGGAAUGCGUAGAGAUCUGGAGGAAUACCGGUGGCGAAGGCGGCCCCCUGGACGAAGACUGACGCUCGGGUGCGAAAGCGUGGGGAGCAAACAGG